Non-coding RNA from Podarcis lilfordi (Lilford's wall lizard), 72 nucleotides. NCBI's taxonomy places the organism in Eukaryota, Metazoa, Chordata, Lepidosauria, Squamata, Lacertidae. The record is from the annotation of a GenBank genome assembly.
GGUUUCUAGCUCAGUGUUAGAGCAUCUACUUUGCAUACUAGAAAGUCCUGGGUUCAAUCCCAGGCAGCUCCA